AUUGAACGCUGGCGGCAGGCCUAACACAUGCAAGUCGAGCGGAUGAAGGGAGCUUGCUCCUGGAUUCAGCGGCGGACGGGUGAGUAAUGCCUAGGAAUCUGCCUGGUAGUGGGGGAUAACGUCCGGAAACGGGCGCUAAUACCGCAUACGUCCUGAGGGAGAAAGUGGGGGAUCUUCGGACCUCACGCUAUCAGAUGAGCCUAGGUCGGAUUAGCUAGUUGGUGGGGUAAAGGCCUACCAAGGCGACGAUCCGUAACUGGUCUGAGAGGAUGAUCAGUCACACUGGAACUGAGACACGGUCCAGACUCCUACGGGAGGCAGCAGUGGGGAAUAUUGGACAAUGGGCGAAAGCCUGAUCCAGCCAUGCCGCGUGUGUGAAGAAGGUCUUCGGAUUGUAAAGCACUUUAAGUUGGGAGGAAGGGCAGUAAGUUAAUACCUUGCUGUUUGGACGUGACCAACAGAAGAAGCACCGGCUAACUUCGU
Molecule: ribosomal RNA, 483 nt
Filed under: uncultured bacterium
Lineage: Bacteria
Description: partial 16S ribosomal RNA
Rfam family: Bacterial small subunit ribosomal RNA
Source: RNAcentral